This 240-nucleotide long non-coding RNA is filed under the name Medicago truncatula (barrel medic). RNAcentral's name for it is "long non-coding RNA (MTRU_LNC006822)". The record is from RNAcentral. Lineage: Eukaryota; Viridiplantae; Streptophyta; Magnoliopsida; Fabales; Fabaceae.
AAAAAUAUAGUCAUCAAACAAGAGCUUAUCCAACAAGAAGCAACCACAACUCAAGGUUGAACCAAUUGAAGGAAGGAGCAUCAAAGCAACGCUUAACCACCAUCCGGUAGAAGCCAAUAUCCACAAAGCCAUAAAAGGCACAACGCUUAACCAUCAAGAGUUUUCCAUAACUCAAGACAGAAGCACAAGAAGAAGAAGAAGAAGAAGAAGAAGAAGAAGAAGAAGAAGAAGAAGAAAAAA